RNAcentral lists this transfer RNA (76 nucleotides) under Rhodoferax sp. RNAcentral's name for it is "tRNA-Phe". It matches the Rfam family "tRNA". Rfam says of the family: Transfer RNA (tRNA) molecules are approximately 80 nucleotides in length. Their secondary structure includes four short double-helical elements and three loops (D, anti-codon, and T loops). Lineage: Bacteria; Pseudomonadati; Pseudomonadota; Betaproteobacteria; Burkholderiales; Comamonadaceae. The record is from RNAcentral. RNAcentral also lists the same sequence under 43 other names.
GGCCCGGUAGCUCAGUCGGUAGAGCAGAGGAUUGAAAAUCCUUGUGUCGGUGGUUCGAUUCCGCCCCGGGCCACCA